RNAcentral lists this transfer RNA (77 nucleotides) under Actinomycetes bacterium. RNAcentral's name for it is "Actinobacteria bacterium (soil metagenome) tRNA-Met". It matches the Rfam family "tRNA". Rfam says of the family: Transfer RNA (tRNA) molecules are approximately 80 nucleotides in length. RNAcentral also lists the same sequence under 4 other names. The record is from RNAcentral. Lineage: Bacteria; Bacillati; Actinomycetota; Actinomycetes.
GGCGGCGUAGCUCAGUUGGUGAGAGCACUCGGCUCAUAAUCGAGGGGUCGCCGGUUCGAGUCCGGCCGCCGCUACCA